This is a long non-coding RNA of Apodemus sylvaticus (European woodmouse), 3313 nucleotides long. RefSeq lists it as uncharacterized. Lineage: Eukaryota; Metazoa; Chordata; Mammalia; Rodentia; Muridae. The transcript is spliced from 3 exons. The record is from RefSeq and is a predicted model, not a curated record.
GAGAAGUUACAAAGUUGUGGAGAAGUCCAGCAAAUGACUGGACAAGGGUUGAAGAAGGUACCCCUGACUCCUGUUGGUUCAGACAUUUAGAGGACGGAAGAAGUGUUGUCAGGAAGAUGGCGGCCCAGGAGAACCCCAGCCACCUCUCUGCACUAAAACCUGAGCAGCUGAUACUCAGGCCCUGGGGCUCCUUCUCUGCUGAGGGAUCUCAGAGGAGCCACAGGGCCACACAGACCCAGCUGGGUCUGCAGGCCACACAGCCCAUUCCGACCACGCAUCAGGCAACCCUGUGAUCCAGGAAAUUCUCUGGAGAAGCGGUGUUCUCCACGCGCCUGGCCUCUUGACACAAGCCCCUGGCUUCUUGAGUGAACACGAGGACACCGGGAGGACGCCCUGAGGCAGUGUUCAACAUGUCUGACAAGAUCUCAGAAGCACAGGCUCAAGCCAAGUUCACUGAGCAGUGAGGCUGCUGGGCCUACCUGCUUCCUGCUGUCGUCUGAGCAGGUGAGGGCCCUGCAGCCAUCAGCAGUGACCUUGGCCCAACCUCUGCCUGUCCUGGGGUCCCUUGUCCCACAACUGCUCAGUGGACAUCAGCUGCAGGGGCCUUCCAUGCCCUGAAGCCUGGUGCCAUGCUGAGACUGAGAGUUCUAAGCUAUGGAGCUUGCAGAAGUGAAUUUCAAGGGGACACUUGUCACUGAGCCCCGGCAGUCAUGUGUCAUCGGCCGCGUCACCAUGUGUUGAGUGUAUUGAGUGUGCUAUGGGGUUUGGUUACUUGCUUUUGUUUGAAACCUGACAAAUCCACAUGCCCUGAGCUAGCUAGCAGCCUCUACUGCUCUCCCCCCUGGUGUCUCACUAGCCUUCCAGAGAUUCCCUGGCCCUUGCCUGAGACCAAGAGAUGCCUGCCUCGUGCAGAGGACUCUGUUCAGCUGUGACAGGCUUCCUGGCCUCACCUGCUCGGACCAGGGACCAACAGGAAGAAGGCAGACUCAGCCCCGACCUUACACACAGCCUCGGAUGGCUGCCCAGCAGAGGAGGAAGUGUAACAUGUUAGAAGACUGAGAAGGAGAUGAAGCAGCAGGUACCUCAGCUGGGAUGGAGGAGCUUGCCUCCUUCCUUCACCGACCAGCACUGGGGGAGACAGAGCCAGUAGGUGGCGAGCGGGGAAGGCCUGAGGCCUGGCCCUUGGGUUCCCAGCACCCAGCGUGCUUGCAGGGACCGAUCGCUCUGCUGAGUAAAUCCUCAGUGUCUUUGUUACCAGCUCACUGAAGUGUGCAUCAGGACCACUGCCGACUCUUGCGGAGAAAAGACCUGCAGAAGGCCAAGGCACUCAGGCACGGCAGCCUUCCCUGCAGGGACACCAGGUGCCCAGUGAGUCUGGUUCUCACAGAGGGCUGGCCAGCAGCCCAACAGAAACAAGACAGGUGCUUCCAGAAGGCACUCCCUCAGCUCUGGUAGGAAAAGAAACUGGGACAAACUUCUUUGCUGGAGUGCAGGAACUCAAUCGGCUUCAGAGAAGGCCUUGCUUGUUGAAGUGUGUGGCUGGGUGAGAGUCUAGCUCAUUGGGUGACAUGUAGCAGAGUUCUUUCUAGGGCUAAAGCAGAGGUGAGAGGAGAGACUAACUUCAGCAAACACUCAUCCCCUGAGCCUCUCCUACACUAAGCAGAAGCAUAGACAGCCUCUUCCACCUUAGCCAGAAGGCUAGCUUCACGUAAAUUCAGAAAAUACCCACGAGUCCAACGGAGACUGGGCCAUGUAGAUCACAGCGAGCAGGGAAUGUUGUGCUCAGCUGAGUGGGGAGAAAUAACAUCUGUUCCGGUGCACCCUGGCACACACAUGCACACCUGCCUGUAAUACAUAUGUGCACACAUGUGAUACGCACGAGUGAGCAUGCUCACAUGACACACGCAUACUUUCCCCAUAGUCUGAGCCAGCAUGUCCUCCCACCCACCCCGCCUGGGGAGGCCAUCCUUCCGCUCUAGCUUGUAACCUUCUCACAGUCCUUUACCACCAGCGCUGUUUCUUUUAGCUGACAGCUUGGUAAGCUUGCUUUCCAAUCAGGAUACUUUCCUUGUGUGCGCUUAAAAUGAGUCUCUGACUGAAACUGUAGGGCCCCACACAACAGGAAGCCACUCGCUCCUCUCAACCCCGAUGGAAUGGGAGGUCAGAGAGAAUGAUCGCAGAAGGAGCCAUCUGCAAACUUCAGAAGGAAAGGGUGAAAGUAGAGAUGAAGGGGUCGAAUGUGGACCACGACACCUGCCUCGCAUUCGACACUUCUGGUUUGACUUUGCCGUGGCCCUAAGAUGAGCGGCUGCAGUCAGCCGAUCUCCACUGCCUGGAACUCCUCUUUUCUCUGUUGCUUGGAAAGAAAACAGGAAACGACGGUGGGCCCUGCUUGGGGAUGAGGUGGGGGCGGAAGUUUGCUGUGGACGAGUACUGACUCUCAGCCAGGUCAGCCACUGUCUAGGUGCCUUGCUGGAUGCUGCUUUACAAAGUGAUUGUUACUUAUGUGCAGGCUGCUUUGCCUGUGUGCAUGCUAUGCCUUUGCCUGGCACCCACAGAAGCCAGAAGAGGGCACUGGAUCCCCUGGAAGUGGAGUUCAAGAUGGCUGCAGGCCACCAUGUGGGCGCUGGGAAUUAAUACCAUAUUCUCCAGAAGAGCAGCCAAUGCUCUCAACCCCUGUGCUGGGUUUUCUGUAAUACACGCGGCAUGUAUGCAUAUGGGUAGCUGGCACUUACUUCAAUAAUUAUUACCCACCAGCCACUUCAUGAACAAUUUAUAAGUGAUUUCCUUUAAUCAUUAUGAAACUUGGAGGCACAGGUUGCAGAUCUGGCAACAAUUAUGACAAAACCUGUUCAUAAGCACUUUCUACACAUUUUUUUGGUUUGUUUUUUUGGGGGGAUUUUGGUGUUUUUUCGAGACAAGGUUUCUCUGUAUAGCCCUGGCUGUCCUGGAACUCACUCUGUAGACCAGGCUGGCCUCGAACUCAGAAAUCCGCCUGCCUCUGCCUCCCAGAGUGCUGGGAUUACAGGCGUGCACCACCACCGCCCGGCUGUUCUAAACAUUUAUAUAUUUGAGCUCUGUCUAUGCAAGCUUGGAAGGUGCACAUUAUUAAACCCAUUUCCUAGGUGAGGAAACUAAGGCUUACAGGAUGCAAGGAUGUCAGUCAAAAACGCUCAGCUAGUAAUGGUAAGACCUCUCCUCUGUGCCUCACUGCCUCAGGGCCUGGGCAGGGCCAGGCCACAGCCCUCUGAGACAGCAUAGCUACCUCUAAUUGGCCAGAGGAUCGAGUGUGGCAUAGGUGGUGGGAGAAGGA